Cornus florida is the source of this 3518-nucleotide RNA transcript. RefSeq lists it as uncharacterized. The record is from RefSeq and is a predicted model, not a curated record. The transcript has 4 exons. Lineage: Eukaryota; Viridiplantae; Streptophyta; Magnoliopsida; Cornales; Cornaceae.
AUGCACUUAAUUUACACGAGAAUACAUGCAAUGUAUAUGUGUGUGUGUUGACUUUCCGUCCCGCAUUGUAGGGUGUGACUAGAUAUACGAAGCAGUUGAGCACAAUUACAGUUUUGAGGUUCUUGGCGAGUGAUUAAUCACUAUCUCAUAAAGCUUUUUCGCCAUUGAAGCUGGACAAGAACAAGAAGAGUACACAAGAAAGAACGCAAAACAAAAGAGAAAAGAAAGUACUUACUAAGAAAUUGAAUGUCUAUUAUAGUACACUUUCCCAAUGCAAACAACAUGGAUGAGAGAGAGAACGUACAUCCCCUUGCAGUUUAGAGAGAGAAAGUGUUGAGAGAGAGAGAUGAAAAGGGGAGAAAAAAGUGGGGGAAGGCCAGCAGAAAAGCAAGAAAAUUUGGGGGAAAAGUUGAAGAGAGUGUUGGUGGUGGGGAAAAGAGGGGGACAUACCACUCCAGUUUUGACCCCAUGGAGUGGUGGUGGUGCGCAAGAUAGCAUCCUUAAAUUGCCACCCACUUUAGUCUCUGCUAGAAAGCUCGCUGCUGCCGCUUUCUGGGAGCUUCAUUACUACCACCACCUCCCCAUCUCUAAAAUGCACCAUGGUGUUACUGCUCCACCUCCUAGGCUGCGCAGCCUCCACCGUCACCACCACCGCCACCUUUACAAGGACAAUGGCCUUGACAUCCCCUCCACCACCACCGUCUUUCCCGAUUCCUCCCCCAGUUCCCCUGAUCUGCAGCAGGAGACUACAAGCAGUUUGGGGAGGCAUGUCGCAGCAUCACUAAUGCAACAUCAUCUAUCAAUUGAAAGGAGCAAUCAUGCUAUACAACCUGUCUCUCCUGCUAGUUAUGGCAGUUCUAUGGAGGUGGCGACAUAUAACCCUGCUAUCACUCCUACCAGUUUUGUGGACUUCAAGGGAAGGAAUGGUGACACAGGUUAUGGCCUAAAAACGUCUACAGAACUGCUAAAAGUAUUGAAUCGGAUCUGGAGCUUGGAAGAACAACAUGCAUCCAACCAUUCAUUGGUGAGAGCAUUGAAAAAGGAGCUAGAUGGUGCCCAUGCCCGGAUCAAGGAGUUGUUUCAAGAUCAGCAAGCUGAUAGACAUGUGAUAGAUGGCUUGAUGAAGCAAAUUGCAGGAAGUAAACUAGUUAGGAAGAGCAAGGAGCAAGAUCAGAUCAACAUUGCCAUUCAAUCUGUGAGGGAUGAGCUGGAAGCUGAGAAGAAGUUAAGGAAACGCUCCGAGGGACUGCACAGAAAGUUAUCUCGAGAGCUUUAUGAGGUAAAGAAUUCUCUUGCUGAUGCUUCGAAAGAGAUGGAAAGAGAGAGACAAUCACGGAAGCAGUUGGAAUACCUUUGUGAUGAGUUUGCUUGGGGAAUACGAGAUUUUGAACAAGAGUUGCAUGCUAUGAAACACAUAUAUGACGAGGAUUCAGCAGACAAGAUUGAGCGUGAUCAAUUGAUUCUCAAUAUAUCUGAAUUGUGGCUUGAUGGACGGAUGCAGAUGAAACUAGAAACUCAGCAUGGCUUUGGAGAAAAAUACUCAACAGUUGACAAAUUAAGCUCUGAAAUCGAGACCUUUCUUCAAGCUAAAAGAACUGGCAAGUCUAACAGUAAUUGUAGUUUUGUGCCAAGGGGUACCAGAAUUUGCCGUAAUUCUCUUGAAUCCAUUCCUUUGAAUAUGGCUGUUAGUUCCCCUGUGUGUGAUGAAGAAGGUUCUGAAGGCAGUGAUUCACAUUCUUUUGAGCUAAAUAAACGAAGUGCUGGUGACUUAAAACCACGGGGUGAUGAAGCUGAGGGAAGUUGUAUUGAUGACACAGUGAAGCCACAUCAUACAAAGAAAAAUAUUUCAUCCAUUGAAAGAAUAAAAGGGCGAAAUCCUACCAGCUUGCAGGUGAAGUUUAUAGAACAGAUGGCUCGGGCCAUGUCAUGUAAUGGUAGCAUAACCCAAGUCGUGGAUACAGAAAAAAGGAAAGCCGGGGAAGGGAAUUCUGUUGAAAUAAGCUUUUCCAAGAAGUCCGAAAUUUGUGAAGCUCCAGAAGAGGACAAUUAUGAAAGAAUAGAUAAAUUCGAUGGAAUCCAUGGAUUGAACUCAAAUUAUGUCAUCGACAAUUAUAUACUAAGAAAUAAUUUUUUGUCAGCAGAGUCGGGGAACUCUGCAUGGACGAGUCAUACCAGUCCAGUAAGACAAUGGACCACUGGAUUCCCAUCCCAAGAUCUUGACAUAUCUGAGUCUUCUUCUAAAUUGCCUCAGGACCUAAAGGAGAACACUUUGAAGGCAAAGUUACUUGAAGCAAGGACAAGGGGUCAACGCUCGCGCUCAAAUCUAAAAGUUUCCAAAGGUCCUUCUUAGGCUGGCUUACAUGAUUUGAUAGGUUCAGAGCUUCAUAAAUUUCUAAAAGGCAUGUGAAUUGGAAGCCGAUCCCAUCGAACGUGGCCAUCAGAGUCCCUCCAUUUCAUGUCCUUUGUUUGGGGAUGACUGCAUUAUUUUCUUCAAGCCAUCCCUUCCGAGUUGUUUCCAUUUUAGUGAAAGCUCUUGGAGAAUUUGGUGCACCGUAUGUCAGAGUAUUAAUCACUAUAAAGCCUAUAUUCUUUUCAGCAUCAAUGCUCUGAUUAGUUUACUGGACUCUAAGCUUCUUUAGGAGUUAAAUUAAAGAUAUGGCUUCGUUAUCUUGGGUUUCCCCAAUGGUUUUAUUUAUUUUUUAUUUUUUCAGAAAUUAUCUCCCCAAUGAUUUUAUUUUAUUUUAUGGCCUAGUCUCCUUGAUAUGUUUCUGUCCAUUCCAUAUUUGUAGUGAUGUCUGCUUUUAAACUCCUUUGACACCUUGUGACAAUAUCAACACUCUUAUUUCCAAGUUCUGGUGGAGCUCAAGUGUUGUUUAUUAUUAUUUAAAAAUAUAUAUAUCAUUUAUUGAAAGAAUUGGCCUCCUAUUUGCCAUCUAAGCAAGAGGGAUUAGUUUGAGAGAUUUCAAAUUCCUUACUAGGUUCACAGGCAGUACCGGCAAAUGCUCCAAACCAUGCACUUAGAAGGCUGCACUGGCCUUGCCAAAUCAUUUAUAAGACCAUCUCCCUCUUGCAGUCUUUCAAUGGUUCACUAGGUUUUGUAUAGAUUCGUUGUAGUGGUAGGUGCUAUUGUCUUGUGUUCACCUCUUGCCUUGUGUGAGUUUUGUCAUACUGUUUUAUAUCUAUUUCUCUGUGUUUGUUCCUUGUUCUGCUUCCUGUACAUCUUCCUCUCAUACAGCAAGGAAGUUAAAAGAAAAAAAAAAAAAAAAAAUUGAUUUUAGCCACUUGCAGCACGAAGAACGUUGAUUGAUCCAGAGUGCUUUCAAUUUGAAUGUGCAUUGACUAAAGAAUUUGCCAUUUUGAAAUACAGUUUCAGACUUUUGAGUAGUAUAUUUUGAAAUCCUCUCUUUGGUCUAUUAUACAAAGAGGAAUAGAGAUUGCAUCUUGUAGAGAGUGAGAUGUCAAGAGAGAGCUCUUAUGAGUCUUGUUUAGUGUUUUUCUUUGUAGCUUUUCCUAUUGUA